This is a long non-coding RNA of Bos taurus (domestic cattle), 1012 nucleotides long. NCBI's taxonomy places the organism in Eukaryota, Metazoa, Chordata, Mammalia, Artiodactyla, Bovidae. The record is from Ensembl.
CAUGUAGCCUACUACUUCGGGCCUCCCCACUCAACAGCCCUUCCAUCCCCUCCUCCAGGCAGUGAGCAGAGCUGGAGGUCCUUCCAGAUCCCUUGGCCCAGUCCUCACUGCACACAGUUAGAGCAGAGACGCCGUGAGAGCACAGGGAGCCCAGAGGCUGCGGGGCUGGGGCCUUGCUCUCCUUUCUCCCCAGUUCUGGACUUCCUGGGACACACGAUGUUGCUUUCACUCUCCAGCCCAGCGCUAGCCCUGAGGCAUUUCAACCCCACCUACCCUCCUGAGGACUGCCUGGGUCCUCUCACAGGCAAAGUAGCUAAAGCAUCAGGAACACACUUCUAGGGGACUUCCCUGCUGGUCCAGUGGUUAAGGACCUGCCUCCUAAUGCAGGGAACGUGGGUUCCAUCCCUGGUCUGGGAACUAAUCUCCUACUUUGUUUUGUUUUUGUUGUUAAGUCGUUCAGUCAUGUCUGACUCUGUGCAACCCCAUGGACUGUAGCCCGCUAGGCUCCUCUGUCCAUGGGAUUUCCCAGGGAAUUAUACUGGAGUGGGUUGUCAUUUCCCUCUCCAGGGGAUCUUUCCAACCCAGAGAUUGAACCCAAGUCUCCUGCAUUGGCAGGUGGGUUCUUCUAUCACUGAGCCACCACACGCCGCAGGGCAGCUAAGGGAUUGCACCGCGACUGCUGAGCCUGUUGCUCUGGAGCCCACGUGCCACAACGAGAGAACUUGUCUGCUGCCCACAGACCCUGCAGAGAUCCUGUGGGCAGCAACUAAGACCCCACGCAGCCAAAUAAUGAAUAUUAAAACACACACAUUUCUGAGUCAGACUGUCCUGGGUCAGCCUCAGGCCCAUCCCUUAACCUGAUUUAAUCACAGUUUCUCCAUCUGUGAAGUGGAGAUAGGAACAGUACCUUUCAUAGGGGUCGUUGUGAGCAUUAACGAUGGGAUGUAUAAAAAGGACUCAGCACGGUUCUGGGGACACAGUAGGUGCUCAAUAAAGGUGAACACUUUCAGGG